AACGAACGCUGGCGGCAUGCUUAACACAUGCAAGUCGAACGCUCGGGCUUCGGCCCGGGAGUGGCGCACGGGUGAGUAGCGCGUGGGAACCUGCCCUCUUGUGGGGAUAACCGAGGGAAACCUCGGCUAAUACCGCAUAAGCCGGAGAGAUCCGGGAAAGAUUUAUCGCGAGAGGAGGGGCCCGUCGUCGGAUUAGCUUGUUGGGUAGGGGUAACGGCCUACCAAGGCGAUGAUCCGUANCUGGCUGAGAGGAUGAUCAGCCACGCUGGGACUGAGA
This 277-nucleotide ribosomal RNA is filed under the name uncultured bacterium. Its description in RNAcentral is "partial 16S ribosomal RNA". It matches the Rfam family "Bacterial small subunit ribosomal RNA", at positions 29 to 324 of the family's 1533-position model. The record is from RNAcentral.